UACGUAGGGUGCGAGCGUUAAUCGGAAUUACUGGGCGUAAAGCGUGCGCAGGCGGUUUUGUAAGCCAGAUGUGAAAGCCCCGGGCUUAACCUGGGAAUGGCAUUUGGGACUGCAAGGCUUGAGUGCGGCAGAGGAGACUGGAAUUCCUGGUGUAGCAGUGAAAUGCGUAGAUAUCAGGAGGAAUACCGAUGGCGAAGGCAGUCCCCUGGGCCUGUACUGACGCUGAGGCGCGAAAGCUAGGGGAGCAAACGGG
This 253-nucleotide ribosomal RNA is filed under the name uncultured bacterium. RNAcentral describes it as "partial 16S ribosomal RNA". It matches the Rfam family "Bacterial small subunit ribosomal RNA", at positions 524 to 776 of the family's 1533-position model. The record is from RNAcentral.